CCUACGGGAGGCAGCAGUGGGGAAUAUUGCACAAUGGGGGAAACCCUGAUGCAGCAACGCCGCGUGAGUGAUGACGGCCUUCGGGUUGUAAAGCUCUGUCUUCAGGGACGAUAAUGAUGGUACCUGAGGAGGAAGCAACGGCUAACUACGUGCCAGCAGCCGCGGUAAUACGUAGGUGGCGUGCGUUGUCCGGAUUUACUGGGCGUAAAGGGGGCGUAGGCGGACUUUUAAGUUAGAUGUGAAAUACUCGGGCUCAACUUGAGUGCUGCAUUUCAACCUGGAAGUCUAGAGUGCAGGAGAGGAGAAUGGAAUUCUUAGUGUAGCGGUGACAUGCGUAGAGAUUAUGAAGAACACCAGUGGCGAAGGCGAUUCUCUGGACUGUAACUGACGCUGAGGCUCGAAAGCGUGGGGAGCAAACAGGAUUAGAUACCCGAGUAGUC
This 440-nucleotide ribosomal RNA is filed under the name uncultured bacterium. RNAcentral describes it as "partial 16S ribosomal RNA". It matches the Rfam family "Bacterial small subunit ribosomal RNA", at positions 338 to 795 of the family's 1533-position model. The record is from RNAcentral.